AUUCGAAGCUUGUCGAACAAUUCCUUCGGGGAGUGGAGGCCAAUUCGAAAAGGGAACUUUAUUAUUGGUGUGCUUACUAUGAUAAGAAACUCCCUACUGGAACAAGCGCCUUGCUAAAAUUAGAAGAAUUCGUGGCCAAGUUUAUGAGCGUAUACAGAAAAAACUCCAGGAAUCGUUGAUCCACAUGGCUGGAGGAACGUUGAUGGAUCAUUUGUUUAUCUUUAUGACAGUUUUAUGCCUGUCCAUUGUUGAAUGAUUAAGAAUCGAAGGAUUUAGGACAGAAUGCAUAAUAUAUUGUUUAUUGAGAGCUGUGGUCAUUUGAUUUCUCAUAAGUGGACGGGAUCGUGACAAGUAAUAAAGUAGUGGAUAGAGCGUUGAACCUAGAAGGAUUAUGUAUAUGAUUGAAUUAAAAUUAAUUGCAACUUUAAUUGAAUAGCAAACUAGU
Olea europaea var. sylvestris is the source of this 445-nucleotide long non-coding RNA. RefSeq lists it as uncharacterized. Lineage: Eukaryota; Viridiplantae; Streptophyta; Magnoliopsida; Lamiales; Oleaceae. The record is from RefSeq and is a predicted model, not a curated record. The transcript is spliced from 3 exons.